GACAGAGGUGGCAAGCGUUGUUCGGAUUUACUGGGCGUAAAGAGCGUGUAGGCGGUUUGGUAGGUCCGCUGUGAAAACUCGAGGCUCAACCUCGAGACGCCGGUGGAAACCAUCAGGCUAGAGUCCGGAAGAGGAGAGUGGAAUUCCUGGUGUAGCGGUGAAAUGCGCAGAUAUCAGGAAGAACACCCGUGGCUAAGGCGGCUCUCUAGUACGGUACUGACGCUGAGACGCGAAAGCGUGGGGAGCGAACAGG
This 253-nucleotide ribosomal RNA is filed under the name uncultured bacterium. Its description in RNAcentral is "partial 16S ribosomal RNA". It matches the Rfam family "Bacterial small subunit ribosomal RNA", at positions 524 to 776 of the family's 1533-position model. The record is from RNAcentral.